This 440-nucleotide ribosomal RNA is filed under the name uncultured bacterium. RNAcentral describes it as "partial 16S ribosomal RNA". It matches the Rfam family "Bacterial small subunit ribosomal RNA", at positions 338 to 795 of the family's 1533-position model. The record is from RNAcentral.
CCUACGGGAGGCAGCAGUGGGGAAUAUUGCUCAAUGGGGGAAACCCUGAUGCAGCGACGCCGCGUGAGGGAAGAAGGUUUUCGGAAUGUAAAGCUCUGUUGGUAGAGAAGAAAAUGACGGUACCUGACCAAGAAGCACCGGCUAACUACGUGCCAGCAGCCGCGGUAAUACGUAGGGGGCAAGCGUUAUCCGGAAUCACUGGGUGUAAAGGGAGCGUAGACGGGAGGGCAAGUCUGAUGUGAAAUGCCAGGGCUCAACCCCCGGACUGCUUUUGAAACUGCAAGGCUGGAGUGGCGGAGAGGUAAGUGGAAUUCCUAGUGUAGCGGUGAAAUGCGUAGAGAUCAGGAGGAACACCAGUGGCGAAGGCGGCUUACUGGACGGUAACUGACGCUGAGGCUCGAAAGCGUGGGGAGCAAACAGGAUUAGAUACCCGGGUAGUC